AUUGAACGCUGGCGGCGUGCCUAACACAUGCAAGUCGAGCGGUAACAGGUGUAGCAAUACAUGCUGACGAGCGGCGAGCGGGUGAGUAAUGCUUCGGAAUCUACCCAAUGGUGGGGAAUAACCAGCCGAAAGGUUGGCUAAUACCGCAUACGUCCCACGGGAGAAAGCAGGGGAUCGCAAGACCUUGCGCCAAUGGAUGAGCCGAAGUCGGAUUAGCUAGNGGUAGGGUAACGGCCUACCAAGGCGACGAUCCAUAGCUGGUCUGAGAGGACGACCAGCCACACUGGGACUGAGACACGGCCCAGACUCCUACGGGAGGCAGCAGUGGGGAAUAUUGGACAAUGGGGGAAACCCUGAUCCAGCGACGCCGCGUGUGUGAAGAAGGCCUGCGGGUUGUAAAGCACUUUUAGU
This 411-nucleotide ribosomal RNA is filed under the name uncultured bacterium. RNAcentral describes it as "bacterial SSU rRNA". It matches the Rfam family "Bacterial small subunit ribosomal RNA", at positions 29 to 440 of the family's 1533-position model. The record is from RNAcentral.